CCACCGACAGCCACAGGGUGAUACCACCUCCACCAUCUGACUCCAACAGUAAUCGAGUUCUUCUCUAGGACAUUCCACUUUGAUUUGGGCUUUAUAUGGGAUUUAAAGUGUUUGAAUUAGGGUACACAAACAAAUUGCAGAUUAGUUCUCUCAUAUAUACCAGUUCUCUCUCUUCCCCAAAAUUAGGAAAUCGCAAAAUCUCCCUCUCUCUCCCCCAAUGGAUCGCUCUCUCUAGAACUCCUCUUGUUGAAGAGCAUAUUUACAGAUCAAAGUCCUAAAUGAAGAAGGUCCAUUUGAAAACUGGGCAUUCUAGUUUUGGAUCGAGCUUGUCAAUUGCACUUGCAGCUUCCUAAUGUGCUAUUUAUAUAGCUAGGAUGGAUGGCAAUUUGUCGAGUUUGUCAACGGUAGCUUCCUAAUGGCAAUUUGUCAACGGUAGCAUUUCCAUAGUUUUGGGCUUGUUAUGGGCUAUGAAGCUCUGACUGGCUGUUGCAAAGUCGUAGCAGUGUAACACAUGACGGACGCAAAUCACACCCCAAACACGUUAGGAUACCAUGGCAUUUGCCACAUGGCGUAUUUAACUUAUUCGUAGUGACUUGUAUCAUUAGACCAGUUAUAGAGACAAGUUUGGACAUGUCUGUCCUAUAUCCAACUGCAUUUCAGGACGCAUUAGCAACAAUUAUUGUUGAUAUUAGCAGUAAUAAAAGAAAAGAAAUAAAAACAC
This is a long non-coding RNA of Rhododendron vialii, 721 nucleotides long. RefSeq lists it as uncharacterized. The transcript is spliced from 3 exons. The record is from RefSeq and is a predicted model, not a curated record. Lineage: Eukaryota; Viridiplantae; Streptophyta; Magnoliopsida; Ericales; Ericaceae.